Molecule: long non-coding RNA, 784 nt
Filed under: Anas platyrhynchos platyrhynchos (common mallard)
Lineage: Eukaryota; Metazoa; Chordata; Aves; Anseriformes; Anatidae
Description: lncRNA (ENSAPLG00000024645.1)
Source: RNAcentral
AAACAAGUGAUGAACACUACUAACUCUGACCCUUUGCCAUUUCCCUCUUCAUUCACGUUUUUCCACAGAUAAAUUUAAGAGAAGUUGAAAUCAAGAUAAAUUUAAUGUUCUCCAUGGAGAAAUUCAAGUGCAGGAAUACAUUACUUUGUACUUAUUACUUCUAUUCUCGUUUUAUAUACAUUAUUUACAGGUGCACUGUAACAAAUCUUUGUCAUUAAAACACUGUCUGUAAAAAGCAGAAUAAAACUAUUUCUUCUUUUUUUGCAGUUUUCCAAUAUAUUCAUCUGUCACCAGAGCUCCAUGGGAAGUUCUCUGCUGUUCCUUCAUCUGACCGGUAGUGUGACAGAAAGGCCUGGAGCUGGUCAGGGCCAACCCCCGGCCUGAGUGCUAGAUUGUCGAUAAAUGCAGUAAACAACAGGCUGCUUUCUUUCAGAACAAGUUAUAUGAAGUCGUCAUCCAUUUGGCGUCUGGUUUUGAAGGUUGUAGAUGCAUGAAAGAAGGUAGAGGAAGAAGGUUGCUGAUUACCGGUUUUCUUCUGUCAACAGGCCUUUCAUGUUACACCCCACACACUGCAGAGCUGCUGGAAGGGCCCAGAACAGAACCUGCGCGAGCAGCUGAAGGCCAUGAGAGCCCUCCCAGGCUCUGUCUCCCAGUUUAUGGUCAUCUGAAAUCUGGUUUGCGUUCCCUGAGACUGCUCCUCAGUGUGAACCGUGGUGCAGAAAGGAGGACAACAGUCUUCCCUCUGUACUUCAAAGAUUUGUCCCCUCUUCAAGCUGUAGCAUAA